GCGAAGGUGGCGGAAUUGGUAGACGCGCUAGCUUCAGGUGUUAGUGUCCUUAUCGGACGUGGGGGUUCAAGUCCCCCCCCUCGCACCA
RNAcentral lists this transfer RNA (88 nucleotides) under Escherichia sp. E4930. RNAcentral's name for it is "tRNA-Leu". It matches the Rfam family "tRNA". Rfam says of the family: Transfer RNA (tRNA) molecules are approximately 80 nucleotides in length. RNAcentral also lists the same sequence under 1 other name. Lineage: Bacteria; Pseudomonadati; Pseudomonadota; Gammaproteobacteria; Enterobacterales; Enterobacteriaceae. The record is from RNAcentral.